GCCUUGGUAGCUCAGUCGGUAGAGCAGAGGACUGAAAAUCCUCGUGUCGGCAGUUCGAUUCUGUCCUAAGGCACCA
Molecule: transfer RNA, 76 nt
Filed under: Propionispira arboris
Lineage: Bacteria; Bacillati; Bacillota; Negativicutes; Selenomonadales; Selenomonadaceae
Also listed under: 1 other name
Description: tRNA_Phe_GAA
Rfam family: tRNA
About the family: Transfer RNA (tRNA) molecules are approximately 80 nucleotides in length. Their secondary structure includes four short double-helical elements and three loops (D, anti-codon, and T loops).
Source: RNAcentral